CGGGGUCUCUGGGAGCGGCCCUGGCCGCCGCACCCAUCCUCCCAUCCGUGAGGUUAAGUGUUUCGCGAGUAGGAAGUCGCGGACGUGGAGCCCGCGAGGGCCUCCAACCUCUACCAAAACUCUUGCCUCCAAACCUGCGGUCUGAGCGACAAGUUAAUAGUCA
This 163-nucleotide unclassified non-coding RNA is filed under the name uncultured fungus. RNAcentral's name for it is "sequence contains ITS1". Lineage: Eukaryota; Fungi. The record is from RNAcentral.